AUGGAGCUCCCUGCCAGUGCUCCUGGGAGGCAGCAGAUGAUGGCCCCUGCCCCCUACGCAGGAGAUCCGGAUGGAGUUCCAGGCUCCUGGCUUCAGCCUGGCCCAGCCCUGGCUGCUUGGGGAGUGAAGAUCCCUCUCCCUCUCUUUUCCCUCUCCCUCGCCUCCCCCUCCCCUUCGCCCUCUCCCUCCCCCUUGCCCUGGGCCUUUCCUUCUUUUCUGUCACCUACCUUUCAAAUAAAUAAAUGCAUCUUUAAAAAAAAUACAGGAUUUGUUGGAGAGCACUUACUGCUGCCGCGGACAACUUGUAUUCGUCCUAAUCCACCUGUGACCGAGACCCCUGGACAAGCCCACCCUGGCAGAAUGAGUGUAGACGGUGGCUUGAGAGCACUACCUCGGGGGCUGCAUAAAACAGGUGCGUGGCCCUGGCUGCAGGAUCCACAGCGCUCCGGGCCGGGUUCCAGGAAGUUUAAACUUGUGCGAAGCCAGCAGGACGAAGCCCACAAGACGGAGGCUGCGCUGUCUGGACCAUUCUCCCUGAGAGCCCUGCCUGCUUCCCCCGCUCACUCCCACACUGCCCUGUCUCACUGGGCUCCCGGGCACGCCUUUCCCCAGCCUGCCAUCCACCUGACCCUCCAGGUGAGCCUUCAAGGCCCAGACCCAACGUCACGCCCCCGGGAGGCUUUCCCAGUGCUGUGACCGAACUGCCCUCCUUCCUACACCCCGCGCGUGUGUGGGGGAGGGGCGUGCAGGCACCAGGGUCAGUGUGGGUUUUGGACCUGACUUUGCCAGGAGUGUCAGUCCUGGGCAGGUGAUUUUUUUUUUGUUUGUUUUUGAAGAUUUGUUGCUUUGAAGGUUACAAUUACAGGGGAUGGGGGGAGACCUUCCAUCUGCUGGUUCAUUCCUCAGAUGGCUGCAAAGGCCAGGGCUGGGCCAGGCUGAAACCAGGAGCCAGGAGUUUCAUCUGGGUCUCCCACGCGGGUGGCAGGGGCACAAGCACUUGGGUCAUCUUCUUCUGCAUUCCCAGGUGCAUUAGCAAGAGAGCUGGAUCAGAAGCAGAGCAGCCGGGACUGGAACCGGCACCCAUAGGGGAUGCCAGCGAUGCGGGUGGUGGCUUUAUCUGCUGUGCCCCAGCACAGGGCAGGGCAGCUGGCUUUCUGUGGCUGAGCCUCAGAGCGGGUCUGGAGAUGGUGCGGGCAACGUUUCCAGUGGGCAGCACACAGCAGAGGCUGCAGCCACUGGCCCACAGCUUCCAGUCUCCCUGUGGCUGAGAGCAGGGGCGGGGACAGUGUCUGAUGUGCCUGGAUGUUUCCUGAGCCCAGCCCGGGGUUUGCACAGACAUGAUGUUGGCUGGGGGCCCCCGCUGCCCCCUGCUCUGGGACGCUGGUGCCUGUUAGGGUCGACCGCCUGAAAAACGUCACCAAGAGACACUCUCUUAUGCAAACAGCAAGGGGAAGCUUUAUUGAUUAUCCAGCAUGCUGGGGCUGUCUGAUCAUACAUGAACAGAGCAGCCCCGAGUAACCAAAGGUUAGGGUUUAUAAAGGCAAAAACCGCAAAACCGGGAAGGGGAAGAGAAUACACGGUUGCUAAGCGGUUGCUAAAGUCUUACAAUCAGCAAUUAUGAUCUUUUUUUUUUUUUUUUUUUGACAGGCAGAGUGGACAGUGAGAGAGAGAGACAGAGAGAAAGGUCUUCCUUUUG
Long non-coding RNA from Oryctolagus cuniculus (rabbit), 1696 nucleotides. The record is from Ensembl. Lineage: Eukaryota; Metazoa; Chordata; Mammalia; Lagomorpha; Leporidae.